AACUCAAUGAAUAAAGUGUGAUGACUGAAUGUUCACACUUAUGUGUAACAUGUGCCUCCCUCAAAAGUUUGUCCUGAAACAAGCACAUUGCCCAUCUGAUA
This is a small nucleolar RNA of Piliocolobus tephrosceles (Ugandan red Colobus), 101 nucleotides long. RefSeq annotates it as small nucleolar RNA U13. Lineage: Eukaryota; Metazoa; Chordata; Mammalia; Primates; Cercopithecidae. The record is from RefSeq and is a predicted model, not a curated record. The transcript has a single exon.